This 28-nucleotide non-coding RNA is filed under the name Mus musculus (house mouse). Lineage: Eukaryota; Metazoa; Chordata; Mammalia; Rodentia; Muridae. The record is from RNAcentral.
UGACAUGUCGCAAGCACACACAGGUGAC